This 498-nucleotide ribosomal RNA is filed under the name uncultured bacterium. Its description in RNAcentral is "partial 16S ribosomal RNA". It matches the Rfam family "Bacterial small subunit ribosomal RNA", at positions 30 to 523 of the family's 1533-position model. The record is from RNAcentral.
AUUGAACGCUGGCGGCAUGCCUUACACAUGCAAGUCGAACGGUAACAGGUCUUCGGAUGCUGACGAGUGGCGAACGGGUGAGUAAUACAUCGGAACGUGCCUAGUAGUGGGGGAUAACUACUCGAAAGAGUGGCUAAUACCGCAUGAGAUCUACGGAUGAAAGCAGGGGAUCGCAAGACCUUGUGCUACUAGAGCGGCCGAUGGCAGAUUAGGUAGGUGGUGGGAUAAAAGCUUGCCAAGCCGACGAUCUGUAGCUGGUCUGAGAGGACGAUCAGCCUCACUGGGACUGUGACACGGCCCAGACUCCUACGGGAGGCAGCAGUGGGGAAUUUUGGAUAAUGUGCGAAAGCCUGACCCAGCAAUGCCGCGUGCAGGAUGAAGGCCUUCGGGUUGUAAACUGCUUUUGUACGGAACGAAAAGCCCCGGGUUAAUACCCUGGGGUCAUGACGGUACCGUAAGAAUAAGCACCGGCUAACUACGUGCCAGCCGCCGCGGUAA